GGGUUCUUAGCUCAGUUGGUUAGAGCGCUACCUUGACAUGGUAGAGGUCACAGGUUCGACUCCUGUAGGACCCA
This 74-nucleotide transfer RNA is filed under the name Bacteroidota bacterium. RNAcentral describes it as "Bacteroidetes bacterium (sediment metagenome) tRNA-Val". It matches the Rfam family "tRNA". From Rfam's summary of the family: Transfer RNA (tRNA) molecules are approximately 80 nucleotides in length. The record is from RNAcentral. RNAcentral also lists the same sequence under 1 other name. Lineage: Bacteria; Pseudomonadati; Bacteroidota.